CACGCCGUAAACGAUGGGUGCUAAGUGUUGGAGGGUUUCCGCCCUUCAGUGCUGCAGCAAACGCAUUAAGCACUCCGCCUGGGGAGUACGACCGCAAGGUUGAAACUCAAAGGAAUUGACGGGGGCCCGCACAAGCGGUGGAGCAUGUGGUUUAAUUCGAAGCAACGCGAAGAACCUUACCAGGUCUUGACAUCCUUUGACCACUCUAGAGAUAGAGCUUUCCCUUCGGGGACAAAGUGACAGGUGGUGCAUGGUUGUCGUCAGCUCGUGUCGUGAGAUGUUGGGUUAAGUCCCGCAACGAGCGCAACCCUUAUUGUUAGUUGCCAUCAUUUAGUUGGGCACUCUAGCGAGACUGCCGGUGACAAACCGGAGGAAGGUGGGGAUGACGUCAAAUCAUCAUGCCCCUUAUGACCUGGGCUACACACGUGCUACAAUGGGAAGUACAACGAGUCGCUAGACCGCGAGGUCAUGCAAAUCUCUUAAAGCUUCUCUCAGUUCGGAUUGCAGGCUGCAACUCGCCUGCAUGAAGCCGGAAUCGCUAGUAAUCGCGGAUCAGCACGCCGCGGUGAAUACGUUCCCGGGCCUUGUACACACCGCCCGUCACACCACGAGAGUUUGUAACACCCGAAGUCGGUGAGGUAACCUUUUUGGAGCCAGCCGCCUAAGGUGGGAUAGGUGAUUGGGGUGAAGUCGUAACAAGGUAACCAAGGGCGAAUUCGCGGC
Molecule: ribosomal RNA, 723 nt
Filed under: uncultured bacterium
Lineage: Bacteria
Description: bacterial SSU rRNA
Rfam family: Bacterial small subunit ribosomal RNA
Source: RNAcentral